This 702-nucleotide small RNA is filed under the name Pongo abelii (Sumatran orangutan). RNAcentral's name for it is "retained intron". The record is from RNAcentral. Lineage: Eukaryota; Metazoa; Chordata; Mammalia; Primates; Hominidae.
GAGGAGGAGCUGCUACCUGAGGUCAGGAAUGUUGAAUGCACCCAGGGUGACAGCGUUGAGGAGGUCGCCCUGUUGUGUGUCCUCUCCCAUCUCAUCCCUGCCCUUUCCCACAAUCCCAGUGGCCCUUCUCCCAUCUUUCCUGCAGAUAUGUGUAUAACCACAUUGGUGGGGAGCAUUCCGCCGUGAUCCCAGAGCUGGCGGCCACAGUGGCCACAUUUGCCAUCACCACUCUGUGGCUUGGGCCUUGUGACAUUGUCUACCUGUGGUCAUUCCUUAACUGCUUUGGCCUCAACUUUGAGCUCUGGGUGCAAAAACUGGCAGAGUGGGGGCCCCUAGCACGAAUUGAGGCCUCUCUGUCAGUGCAGAUGUCCCGUAGGGUCCGGGCCCUGUUUGGAGCCAUGAACUUCUGGGCCAUCAUCAUGUACAACCUUGUGAGUCUGAACAGUCUCGAAUUCACAGAGCUGGUUGCCCGGCGCCUGCUACUCACAGGGUUCCCCCAGACCACGCUGGCUGUCCUGUUUGUCACCUACUGUGGCGUCCAGCUGGUAAAGGAGCGUGAGCGAACCUUGGCACUGGAGGAGGAGCAGAAGCAGGACAAAGAGAAGCCGGAGUAGGAGGAAGCGGGUAGUGGGAUGGGCUCUGCUCAGCUAUUCUUGGGCCAGAUGGGGCCUGACCAAUAGAAUAAAAGACUUUUCUACAACA